CUUACACAUGCAGUCGAGCGGAGAUGAGGUGCUUGCACCUUAUCUUAGCGGCGGACGGGUGAGUAAUGCUUAGGAAUCUGCCUAUUAGUGGGGGACAACAUUCCGAAAGGAAUGCUAAUACCGCAUACGUCCUACGGGAGAAAGCAGGGGAUCUUCGGACCUUGCGCUAAUAGAUGAGCCUAAGUCGGAUUAGCUAGUUGGUUGGGUAAAGGCCUACCAAGGCGACGAUCUGUAGCGGGUCUGAGAGGAUGAUCCGCCACACUGGGACUGAGACACGGCCCAGACUCCUACGGGAGGCAGCAGUGGGGAAUAUUGGACAAUGGGGGGAACCCUGAUCCAGCCAUGCCGCGUGUGUGAAGAAGGCCUUAUGGUUGUAAAGCACUUUAAGCGAGGAGGAGGCUACUGAGACUAAUACUCUUGGAUAGUGGACGUUACUCGCAGAAUAAGCACCGGCUAACUCUGUGCCAGCAGCCGCGGUAAUACAGAGGGUGCGAGCGUUAAUCGGAUUUACUGGGCGUAAAGCGUGCGUAGGCGGCUUUUUAAGUCGGAUGUGAAAUCCCCGAGCUUAACUUGGGAAUUGCAUUCGAUACUGGGAAGCUAGAGUAUGGGAGAGGAUGGUAGAAUUCCAGGUGUAGCGGUGAAAUGCGUAGAGAUCUGGAGGAAUACCGAUGGCGAAAGGCAGCCAUCUGGGCCUAAUACUGACGCUGAGGUACGAAAGCAUGGGGAGCAACAGGAUUAGAUACCCUGGUAGUCCAUGCCGUAACGAUGUCUACUAGCCGUUGGGGCUUUGAGGCUUUAAUGGCGCAGCUAACGCGAUAGGUAGACGGCUUGGGGGAGGUACGGUCGCAAAGACUAUAACUCA
This 862-nucleotide ribosomal RNA is filed under the name uncultured bacterium. RNAcentral describes it as "bacterial SSU rRNA". It matches the Rfam family "Bacterial small subunit ribosomal RNA", at positions 48 to 903 of the family's 1533-position model. The record is from RNAcentral.